CUUAGAAUAGGCCUUCGGGCCCUUCUUUUCUCAUCUGGCUGGGCCGAUUUGAAUUGGGACUGGGGUAUUACAGAUGAUUUCACGGAUCAAGCUCAAAGGCCCUUGGCCAUAUGACAUCUUCUCUGUUACAGUAAUUUCUUGCAUCCAAACUUCAUCUUCAGGAACAACCUCUAUUCCCAAGAUUAAUGAUAUCCAGCAUAUCAUGAAUCUUUUGG
Molecule: long non-coding RNA, 215 nt
Filed under: Elaeis guineensis (African oil palm)
Lineage: Eukaryota; Viridiplantae; Streptophyta; Magnoliopsida; Arecales; Arecaceae
Description: long non-coding RNA (EGUI_LNC081662)
Source: RNAcentral